GGGGGGGUGGUGGUAAAUAACUCAAUCGUUAUACCCGACUAAUGUAUUUUUAUCGUAGCUUUACUUCAUUUUUAUGUCCCCACUAACAACUAUGUUCCGACUUUAAAUUAUGUAGCGACGAGGGCUGCGGCCAUUUCGUUAAUAAAGAAAGCAUUGAUUGCUUGAAUUAAAUCGUUAUUUCCUGAAUUUGUCAUUUAUAUCUACUCACGAAUAGGACAUGGAGGGAGCGGAAGUUCAGGGAAUACGAUAAUCAUUACACAGCCAGGAAAGAAAGGAAAAGGAGAGGGCAACAUAAUCGUACUUGGGAAUAAUGGAGGAGGAGGAGGUUGGGGAGGCGGUGGUGGGGGCGGGUCAACAAUAGUUGCCGACGACGACGGUGGGGGUGGAGACGACACGAUAAUUACUCAAGGCGCAGGCGGAGGCAGUG
Molecule: long non-coding RNA, 427 nt
Organism: Folsomia candida
Lineage: Eukaryota; Metazoa; Arthropoda; Collembola; Entomobryomorpha; Isotomidae
Exons: 3
Source: RefSeq, a predicted model, not a curated record